This is an RNA transcript of Onychostruthus taczanowskii (white-rumped snowfinch), 3948 nucleotides long. It is a transcript of the gene named Rho GTPase activating protein 26, with no coding region annotated. The transcript is spliced from 23 exons. NCBI's taxonomy places the organism in Eukaryota, Metazoa, Chordata, Aves, Passeriformes, Passeridae. The record is from RefSeq and is a predicted model, not a curated record.
CGGCCUGGCCCGGCACCGCGCUCCCGCCGCCCGCCCGCACCGGCGGCUGCGCGCCUCGCCGCGACAGCCCUUCCGUUCUGCGUUUGCCCCGGAUUUUUGCGUGCUUUCCCCCGCCGUGCCCGGCAGCAUGGGGCUGCCGGCGCUGGAGUUCAGCGAGUGCUGCCUGGACAGUCCGCAGUUCCGGGAGCGGCUGCGCUCCCACGAGGCCGAGCUGGACAAGACCAACAAGUUCAUCAAGGAGCUCAUCAAGGACGGGAAAUCGCUCGUCGCCGCCCUCAAGAACCUGUCGGCCGCCAAGCGCAAGUUCGCAGAUUCCCUCAACGAGUUCAAAUUCCGCUGCAUCGGUGACGCUGAGACCGACGAUGAGAUCUGCAUAGCCAAGUCUCUGCAGGAGUUUGCCACGGUGCUGCGGAACCUGGAAGACGAGCGGAUGCGCAUGAUCGAGAACGCCAGCGAGGUGCUGAUCACGCCGCUGGAGAAGUUCCGCAAGGAGCAGAUUGGGGCUGCCAAGGAUGCCAAAAAGAAAUAUGACAAGGAGACUGAGAAAUACUGUGGUGUCCUAGAAAAGCACUUGAACUUGUCUUCCAAGAAGAAAGAAUCCCAGCUUCAGGAGGCAGACAGCCAGGUGGACCUGGUUCGGCAGCACUUCUACGAGGUCUCCCUGGAAUAUGUCUUCAAGGUGCAGGAGGUCCAGGAGAGGAAGAUGUUUGAGUUUGUGGAACCUCUGCUGGCCUUUCUGCAGGGUCUGUUCACAUUCUACCACCACGGCUACGAGCUUGCAAAGGACUUCAGUGACUUCAAGACAGAGCUGACAAUCAGCAUCCAGAAUACAAGAAACCGCUUUGAAGGAACGAGGUCAGAGGUUGAAGCUUUGAUGAAGAAGAUGAAGGAGAAUCCCCACGAGCACAAAAACAUCAGCCCUUACACGAUGGAGGGCUAUCUCUACGUGCAGGAGAAGCGUCACUUUGGGACCUCCUGGGUGAAGCAUUACUGCACCUACCAGAGGGAAUCGAAGCGCAUCACGAUGGUGCCCUUCGACCAGAAGUCAGGAGGAAAAGGGGGCGAGGAUGAAGCUGUCACCCUGAAAUCCUGUACACGGCGGAAAACAGACACCAUUGAGAAGAGGUUCUGCUUUGAUGUGGAGGCUGUGGAUCGGCCCGGCGUCAUCACCAUGCAGGCGCUCUCGGAGGAGGACCGGCGGCUGUGGAUGGAGGCCAUGGACGGCCGGGAGCCGGUGUACAACUCGAACAAGGACAGCCAGAGCGAAGGCACUGCCCAGCUGGACAGCAUCGGCUUCAGCAUCAUCAAGAAGUGCAUCCACGCUGUGGAAACAAGAGGGAUCAACGAGCAGGGGCUCUACCGCAUCGUCGGGGUGAACUCCAGGGUUCAGAAGCUGCUCAGUGUAUUGAUGGGACCACGUGCUGGCCGAGGCUGGGAGGUCCUGGGCCCCGUGGGCAGGUCUGAAGAUCCCAAGACAGCCACAGAGACAGACACAGAGAUCUGUGCAGAGUGGGAGAUCAAGACCAUUACUAGUGCACUGAAAACAUACCUGAGAAUGCUCCCAGGGCCCCUGAUGAUGUACCAGUUUCAAAGGAGCUUCAUCAAAGCAGCGAAACUAGAGAAUCAGGAGUCCAGGGUGUCGGAGAUCCACAGCCUCGUUCAUCGGCUCCCGGAGAAAAACAGGCAGAUGCUGCACUUGCUCAUGAACCAUUUGGCAAAGGUUGCAGAUAAUCACAAGCAGAACCUGAUGACUGUUGCUAAUCUGGGUGUGGUGUUUGGGCCGACGCUGCUUCGACCUCAAGAGGAAACGGUGGCUGCCAUCAUGGACAUCAAAUUCCAGAACAUCGUGAUUGAAAUUUUAAUAGAGAACCACGAGAAGAUAUUUAACACGGUGCCAGAGGCUCCGGCGUCGAACUCGCAGCUGCUGUUAUCGCGCAAGAAGAGCACGGAGUCGAAGCCUCCCUCGUGCAGCGAGCGGCCGCUGACGCUCUUCCACACGGCCCAGCCCAGCGAGAGGCAGGAGAACAGGAACAGCAUCAUCAACUCCAGCCUGGAAUCUGUCGUCUCUUCAAAUGUAAACAGCUUCCUCAACUCCAACAGCGCUCCCCAGCCCAGCCUGAACUCGAGUGAUCUUGAACUAGAAGUAAUUAAACCCAACAGGCCAAAUUCCCUGAAGAGCCCCUCGCAAAGCCCUCCUGAGUAAGAAGAAGGAAAAAAAGUCCAGCUGACAUUUGCUGCCUGCAGGCAGCUGCCAGAACUUCCCCGCAGCCUCUCACCAUCUCUGCUCUAUUUGUGAGAAACAAAGGAAAUUGGAUCCUACAAGAAAACUGUUCUCAAAACACCAGAGACCUCGGGAUAGCCCGUUCCCUCAUGUGCACUGACAUCUCCAGCAAGGCAGGACUUGGGUCUGGCAGUCACAUAAGCUCAGGAAGGUGAAACUCAAGCAGCAGCUUGGAAAUAAAUACCUGUAUUUCAUGGGAGGGAGGUGAACCCUUCAUACCCAUCAUACCCCAGGGUCUGUCGGUGCUGGGGAGCAGCUCAGGUGAGUCCUGAGCUGUCCAUGGGCUCUUCUUGAGGAAGUGUUCUGGAAGGACUUGCAGAGCAGCUCAGUCACCGUAGGACCGUGUUCAUCUCCUCUGUGAGCCCCUGAGGGGCACGGGGUGCUCUGCACACCCCAGUGCUCGCGCUGCAAUCAGUGAGCCGCUCUCUCCGUGCGUUCGCUGGGCACAGAGUGUGACACCAAGGAUCCAAAGGCACCAAAACCCUGCUCCAAAUUAGGGGUGACUUCUUAGGCAGAGGCUGGCCCCAGUGUUGGUUCUUUCAGGCUUUUUUCCCUGGUAACUCUGAGAUCCUGCUGGCAUUCCCCGCUGUCAGGAGCGGAGCGGGCGCGCGGUUCUGGAGCGAUGACAGCGCCUUGAGGAGAAAUGAGAGCUGCAUUCUUCUGCCAUGACUUCAUCUCAGAAAGUGCAGUAGCAAUUUCCAGUCCUGGAGCCCUGUGUCACUGGAUUUUCCUUCCUUUGUGCACUGGAGAGGACCAGGGCUGGUGGCAGACAUGGUGCCCAUCCCAUGCUGACACACCAGUGCCAUGUCCCAGUGCCCAUCCCAGGCUGGCACACCAGUGCCAUGUCCCAGUGCCCAUCCCAGGCUGGCACACCAGUGCCAUGUCCCAGUGCCCAUCCCAGGCUGGCACACCAGUGCCAUGUCCCAGUGCCCAUCCCAGGCUGGCACACCAGUGCCAUGUCCCAGUGCCCAUCCCAGGCUGGCACACCAGUGCCAUGUCCCAGUGCCCAUCCCAGGCUGGCACACCAGUGCCAUGUCCCAGUGCCCAUCCCAGGCUGGCACACCAGUGCCAUGUCCCAGUGCCCAUCCCAGGCUGGCACACCAGUGCCAUGUCCCAGUGCCCAUCCCAGGCUGGCACACCAGUGCCAUGGCCUCUUUCACCUCGAGCUUACAGCCCAGUGCUGGGAGGGCUGGUGGGUGUUGGUGGCCACUCUCAGCAGGACAGGCUCAGCCACAUUUUGGUCACCAGGUCAUUGCCCCUCCAAGUCCCACCUUGGCCAGGCUCCUCUUGGAGAAGGGAAUUGCUAGGCCGUCUCUUUGAAAGAACUGGUGCUUAAAGGGUUAAUUUUGGCAGUUUGGGAUGACUUGGUGACCUUGGUAGCACCUCCUGUUUGGGGUGGGAAUAGAAGGAGUAUCUGGUAAGUACCAAUGGUUGUCAGGUUUGGUUAAGACCAAGGAAAACUCAUUUUUCAAAAGUUUUGGUGAUAGAAAUGCUAACGGAUUGUUUUUACAUAGUGAUGAUUAUUAGCAGAACAUUCUGAGGAUCUUGAAUGACUGCCUGACAGCAUUCCCUGUUUUCCAGCCUCUGGUGAAGUCAUGCUGCACUCACUGCUGUAUCCAUUUCUCUGUGUGUGUAAUCUUCUGACACAAUAAAGGUGUUGCCUGUAA